UUCCUGAUCCCGUGAUUAAGGAUGACGAAGUUUUAAUGAAGAUACGGGCUAACGAUUUAUGCCAAAAUGAUGUGCGAGAUUAUACAGGCGAUACAAAAUGGACCUAUCCGCGAGUGGGCGGACAUGAAUUCAGUGGUGAAAUUGUAGCAGUUGGCAAAGAUGUUAAUCCAAAACAUUUUCAAGUAGGCGAUCAUGUUGUGAAAUACAUCUUGCCUAACUGUGGUGAAUGUUAUUAUUGCCAAACUGGUCGGCCGAACUUAUGUACUGAAAUUUAUUCGUCCCCAACAUUCCACAAUGAUCACGGUAUUUCUGGCUUUUGGGGGAUGUCGCAGUUGAUGGCCGUUAAAUCGACCGACCUGUUUAAAUAUCCUAAGACAACCCCUUUCCUUGAUAUGGCUUUCACGGAACCACUGGGAUGCGUCAUUAACAGUGUUGAUCGAGCGCAUGUGCAGCUUGGACAAGAUACUUUGGUUAUUGGCGGCGGCGUCAUGGGAUUGCUACAUGUGAUGGUGCUAAAGUUGAAAGGGGCGCGGGUAUUGGUGAGCGAGCCCGAUGAAACCCGGCGACAACUAGCGCUAAAACUUGGGGCAGAUUUUGUUCUUGACCCAAUGCAAAAAGAUCCGAUUAAGAUCGUCAAAGAUGCGACAGAAGGCCGGGGUGCUGAUGCUGUUUUCAACACCACCGCAGUGCCGGCGAUCGCGAAACAAGCCAUAGCAUUUACAGCGAAUGGCGGACAGACCUUUAUGUUUAGUUCAAUGCAUCCAGAUGAUCCGGUUCCGAUUGAUCUUGGUGCCGUGCAUUCCCACGAAAAGUUCAUCAAAGGUACGGUCAGUCCUACUAGAGAAACGUAUUUUCGGGCGACACAGCUCAUUGGCAAAAAGAUACUCAACAUGCGGCCGUUAUUGGAUAAGACCUUUUCUUACACAGAUGCCGAGAGUGCUUUUAAAUAUGCUAUGCUUCCGGAUACUUUGAAAACAAUGGUGACAUUUGAUUAACAGCCACUUGGGAAGGUGAAAUCGUUGGACAAGCAAUAUAUCGGCAUUGAUUUAGGAACAUCUUCCAUCAAAAUGGGUUUAUUUAAUCCUGAUAUCUCCUCUCAAGCUUUCUAUCAGCAAGCUUAUCAAUAUGAGACAUUAGCAAAUGGCGCCAAAGAGAUUGAUCCGAAUGUUUGGUUUGAAAUCGUUGUGAAAGGAUUACAACAAUUAGUCAAGCGUGCUGGUUCUGCUGACAGUAUUGUCGGCAUCGGUAUUACCGGUCAAAUGCAUACGACGGUUUUCCUUGAUCAGAGAGGCCAAAUGGUCCGCCCUGCCAUUCUAUGGAAUGACACACGGACUAAAUUAUUCAUAACCGAAUUGAAGUCGCGGUUAACGGUCAUUGAAGAAUCAGAAAAUGCAAAGAUUGUUUCUACUGGCAGUCCACUAGCAAAUCUUGUCUGGUUGAAACGCGAGGAGCCAAGCCACUUUAAGUUAUUACGGCAUUUUCUCAUGCCAGUGGAUUACAUUGUUUACCGGCUGACAGGUCACUACUCGACUGAUUACUGCGAUGCCUCGACAUCUUCUUUAUUUGAU
This 1568-nucleotide ribosomal RNA is filed under the name Lacticaseibacillus paracasei. RNAcentral's name for it is "Lactobacillus paracasei 16S ribosomal RNA". Lineage: Bacteria; Bacillati; Bacillota; Bacilli; Lactobacillales; Lactobacillaceae. The record is from RNAcentral.